UCCGAUUUGAAUAUCGGCAGUCUCGCUAGAGUGCCCGGCCGAACCGCUGGCAACUAACGACAAGGGUUGCGCUCGUUGCGGGACUUAACCCAACACCUCACGGCACGAGCUGACGACAGCCAUGCAGCACCUCUACUAGCGUCCCUUGCGGGAAGGCGAUGUUUCCACCGCUGGUCGCUAGCGGUUCAAGCCCAGGUAAGGUUCUUCGCGUUGCGUCGAAUUGAACCACAUGUUCCACCGCUUGUGCGGGCCCCCGUCAAUUCCUUUGAGUUUCAGUCUUGCGACCGUACUCCCCAGGUGCAGGACUUAACGCGUUAGCUCCGGGACGCUCCACGAACGUGAAGCACCCCAAGUCCUGAUCGUUUAGGGCUAGGACUAC
Molecule: unclassified non-coding RNA, 379 nt
Filed under: uncultured Terriglobia bacterium
Lineage: Bacteria; Pseudomonadati; Acidobacteriota; Terriglobia
Description: uncultured Acidobacteriia bacterium contains 16S-23S intergenic spacer region
Source: RNAcentral